RNAcentral lists this ribosomal RNA (253 nucleotides) under uncultured bacterium. RNAcentral's name for it is "partial 16S ribosomal RNA". It matches the Rfam family "Bacterial small subunit ribosomal RNA", at positions 524 to 776 of the family's 1533-position model. The record is from RNAcentral.
GACAGAGGGUGCAAACGUUGUUCGGAAUUACUGGGCGUAAAGCGUGUGUAGGCGGCUUUGCAAGUCGGAUGUGAAAGCCCCGGGCUCAACCCGGGAAGUGCACUCGAUACUGCAGAGCUUGAGUGUCGGAGAGGUUGGUGGAAUUCUCGGUGUAGAGGUGAAAUUCGUAGAUAUCGAGAGGAACACCGGCGGCGAAGGCGGCCAACUGGACGACUACUGACGCUGAGACACGAAAGCGUGGGGAGCAAACAGG